AUACGGAGGAUCCGAGCGUUAUCCGGAUUUAUUGGGUUUAAAGGGAGCGUAGGCGGGAGAUCAAGUCAGCUGUGAAAUGUAGAUGCUCAACAUCUGCACUGCAGUUGAAACUGGUUUUCUUGAGUGCGUAAGGGGCAGGCGGAAUUCGUCGGGUAGCGGUGAAAUGCUUAGAUAUGACGAAGAACCCCGAUCGCGAAGGCAGCCUGCCGGGCCGCGACUGACGCUGAAGCUCGAAGGUGCGGGUAUCGAACAGGAUUAGAUACCCUGGCAGUCCGCACAGUAAACGAUGAUUACCCGCUGUCGGCGGCAGACAGUCGGCGGCCAAGCGAAAGCGAUAAGUAAUCCACCUGGGGAGUACGCCGGCAACGGUGAAACUCAAAGGAAUCGGCGGGG
RNAcentral lists this ribosomal RNA (393 nucleotides) under uncultured bacterium. RNAcentral describes it as "partial 16S ribosomal RNA". It matches the Rfam family "Bacterial small subunit ribosomal RNA", at positions 523 to 918 of the family's 1533-position model. The record is from RNAcentral.